Molecule: microRNA, 20 nt
Filed under: Gallus gallus (chicken)
Lineage: Eukaryota; Metazoa; Chordata; Aves; Galliformes; Phasianidae
Description: microRNA Ros-gga
Source: RNAcentral
CGGGGCCGGGCAGGGCAGGG